UUUCACUCCAGAAUAGCAACAGUACCUCCGCGAGUUCCGAGCAGAAGGAUGCAUAUAAAUGUAUGCCUUGUAAACUAGAGACACCAUGACAGCAAAAAUGGCCAGAGAGACAACCCAGUGUAUAACUACAACAUCUAACGUGACAAAGACCUCAGUUCCAGAGGUCCAGCAGACAAGACGGACCCUUUGCAGAUACUGGCUGCAGAAACAACUCAAGUGGUGAAAGUACUAUUUACUGCUUUGCGUGUUCUGUGCUGGCUGGCGGGGAGCAGCUCAGCCAAUCGGGGCUGGACAGCCUGGUAUCUGGAGACAGGUCCGAGAACAGCGG
Long non-coding RNA from Clarias gariepinus (North African catfish), 328 nucleotides. RefSeq lists it as uncharacterized. The record is from RefSeq and is a predicted model, not a curated record. NCBI's taxonomy places the organism in Eukaryota, Metazoa, Chordata, Actinopteri, Siluriformes, Clariidae. The transcript has 4 exons.